Microtus oregoni (creeping vole) is the source of this 296-nucleotide long non-coding RNA. RefSeq lists it as uncharacterized. The record is from RefSeq and is a predicted model, not a curated record. NCBI's taxonomy places the organism in Eukaryota, Metazoa, Chordata, Mammalia, Rodentia, Cricetidae. The transcript is spliced from 3 exons.
AGUUUGUGGGCACCAACCGAUAAAGCAACCAGUCCCAGCAUAGGGGCGGAGGGACACAGGAGCAGGUCUAGCCAUGAAUGAGCUGAACAAGAGAAAACUGCAAUGACAUCCAGCUAAAAGCUAUGAACAUACAGGCAUGGGUCAGUUGGAAGAAUGGUGAGCACGUCGGAGAAACUGUUGCGUCCCUCUUGUUACUGAGGCCGUUGUCCUUACUGGCCCUGUGGAUCAUCUGGGCCUGAUGACAGCUGAAAACAUGAAAACCCGUGAGAACAGCGACACCACAAGACCUAUAGGAG